GCAUCGCUCCUAACUUGUAAAAGAAAGAAGAACCAGUCUUUUUCGUUGUUAUAUGCAACGGUUACGGACGGGUUCGAAUCCGUUUGAUAUUUUGAAAACUUUACUUUUCGACCUUUUCAAGGAAUGCUUUAUGGGCAUGGGGUUGAAUGACAUUGUAUUUUCUGCAGUUUUUAUUUCCCUGUUUCUGCAUGAGAAAGUUAACAAAGACUGGAAAAAUAGAUUUUAUUCGUUCUCUGUAAUCAUUUAAUGAAAUAUCUUGCCUGUUGAUUUAACGUCUAACGAUUUAGUUAAGCGAGAAGUGCGAGCUCCACCCAGUUCAUGGAAUUUCCAGGCUGUCACUGCAAAGAAUUUACUUGGCCGUCUGUUGAAUUGCUGUGUAAGCAAUUUUAACAUGUUUCAUGCUUAGAAUCCAACUUCUACUCCAAAGAUCGGAUUUUGGCAGAUGCGCCAUGGAUCUUGUGGAUGAGGAAUCACCUGCCCACUUUAGAAUUAGCAACCAGAGGUGCUUCUUGCCUUGAGAAAGUGGGAAAUGACACGAGUCGUGUUAUUAAAAACUCCAACCCAACAAGCUCUCUCUCACUCUCUCUCCCUCUCCCUCUCUCUCUCUUUCUCUCUCUCUCUCUGUGCACGGUGCACAGACGCGCAUAGCUUCUGGGCAAUGCAUUCUUUAUAGUUUCAGGAGGGAAUGGCAGAUGAGACCCACCCUGGAAGUAGUGAAUGCUCACCAACUCCAAGCACGCCGAUGGGUACUCCUCUGAGAAAGGUGUUGGAUAGAAUAUCAGGUUUUGCCACUCCUUGGAGGAGCAGUUCAGCUCUACGCGGUCGGAGAAUUUUUCACAGGGAUGUUGAACGAGAAGAGUUGCAGUAUGCUGCUACUCGUUGUCUCUCUUCCUACUACAGCGUCUUUGUUGCUCGCCUUGCUAUCAUGGUCAUGCUUGCCAUUUUAAUUGGGCUUCUAACCAUAUUAACAUGGCAUUUUACAAAGAUCUACACAACAAAAUCACUGAAUAGCUUGGCAUAUGGCCUUCGAAAUGAACUCCUGCAACGUCCAAUUUUACGGAUGUGGAACAUCUUAAAUUCUACCUCUGAGAUAACAACAGCACAGGUUAAGCUGUCAGAGUAUGUGUUCAGACGGUACAACAAUCCUGAAACUCAUGCCGAACAAGUUGAGCAGCUAUACGAAUCAAUGAGGGAUGUAACAUGGGCACUAUUUGCAAGUCGUAAAGCUCUCAAUGCAAUAACUAUAAAUUACAGAAAUGGUUUUGUCCAGGCAUUCCAUAGAGAUCACAGGAGUAACAAUACAUUCUACAUCUACUCGGAUCUUGUAAACUAUUCUAUCAGUGUCAGCGGAUCAUCUUAUGAAAUCGGUUCGCUAUCAUCACAAGAAGGUUGGAAAGAUCAAUCCAUACAUGGUAACAUUUCUGCAGUUUGGUAUCAGGAGCCCCUUGAUCCCAUCACUGGUGAGAAGAAAGGGAAAGCAAAGCCAAUCCCACCAGAUGACCUAAUCAAUAUUGCAGGGCUUUCAGAAGUACCUGAUGGUGUAGCUUCAUGGCAUGUAGCAGUGAGCAAAUACACAGAUACACCCUUGCUUUCAGCAGCACUGCCAGUUUGGGACCCUUCAAAUGAAAGUAUUGUGGCUGUUGUGGGUGUUACUACAGCACUUUAUAGUGUAGGCCAGCUUAUGAAGGAGCUUGUUGAAGUCCAUAGUGGGCACAUAUAUUUGACAUCCCAAGAGGGUUAUUUACUUGCCACAUCCACGAAUGCUCCACUAUUAAGAAAUUCAACCGAGGGGCCCAAGCUUAUGAGGGCUAUUGAUUCUGAGGAUGAAGUAAUACAAAUGGGAGCUAAAUGGUUAGAGAGAGCCUACGGCAACAACUUUUCUCAGAGUCAUGAGGUUCAUGCAGAAAAUGCCAGGCUUGGCCACGAGCAGUAUUACAUUGACUCAUUUUUCCUAAAAUUGAAGAGGCUGCCCUUGGUGGGGGUCAUCAUCAUUCCAAGAAAAAAUAUAAUGGGGAAGGUAGAUGAGCGAGCCUUCAAAACAUUGGUUAUAUUGAUAUCUGCAUCUUUGUGUAUCCUAUUCAUUGGAUGUAUCUGCAUUUUGAUACUGACAAAUGGGGUGUCCAAAGAAAUGAAACUAAGGGCAGAGCUGAUAAGCCAUCUUGAUGCAAGAAGAAGAGCUGAGGCAUCUAGCAACUAUAAAAGCCAAUUUCUAGCAAACAUGAGUCAUGAACUGAGGACACCUAUGGCUGCGGUAAUUGGGUUACUGGACAUUCUCAUAUGUGAUGAUUGCCUCACAAAUGAACAGUACGCAACUGUUACCCAGAUUAGAAAGUGCUCAACAGCUCUACUCCGGCUUCUAAACAAUAUAUUGGAUUUGAGCAAGGUUGAAUCUGGGAAGCUGGUGUUGGAAGAUGCAGAAUUUGAUUUGGGGAGAGAACUUGAAGGACUUGUUGAUAUGUUCUCUGUGCAGUGCAUUAACCACAAUGUGGAAACUGUUUUGGAUCUCUCCGAUAAUAUACCAAAAUUAGUUCGAGGAGACUCUGCUAGAGCUGUUCAAAUAUUUGCAAAUCUAAUCAGCAAUUCUCUCAAGUUCACAUCAUCGGGUCAUGUAAUUAUACGAGGAUGGUGUGAGAACUCAAAUUCUUCCAUUGACAUUGAGAAGUUUCCUCUCGACCAUAAGAAAUCACAGCCUACACAUAAGAUAAAGUUCAAGCAGCAGGGAAGCCAUACAAAGAAGGCCUGCAAGAAAGAAAACAAAAUGAUUCUUCGGUUUGAAGUUGAUGACACUGGUUGUGGUAUUGAUCCAAGCAAGUGGGAAUCUGUAUUUGAAAGCUUUGAGCAAGCUGACCCCUCAACAACACGAACGCAUGGUGGCACUGGUCUUGGAUUAUGCAUCGUGCGGACCUUGGUUAACAAGAUGGGUGGAGAAAUCAAGGUUGCAAAGAAGGAUGGUCCAGGAACUUUAAUGCAGCUCUACUUGCUUCUCAAUGCACCUGCAGAUGGCACAGAACAGCACUGCCGAGUAGAUUUUUCGAACCAUAGUUUAGUGGUACUGCUUGCUCUACAUGGCAGAAUGGGGAGAUUGAUUAUGUCCCAAUGGCUACAUAAAAGUGGAGUGUUUACGAUGGAAGCAUCUGAAUGGAAUGAGCUGACACAAAUUCUUAGGGAAUUCUUCUGUAUCAGAAGGUCAGCUCGUAACGAUGGCUUUGAUGCACAGCGUUCUCUAAGUGAACCUUUGAACACUCAAGUACUGAGCAUACAAGACAUGAGGAACCCAGUCUUCAUCAUAGUUGUAGAUAUAGGACUGCUUGACUUGAGCACAGAUAUAUGGAAGGAACAAAUUAACUUUCUUGACAAUUACUUUGGGAAAGUGAAGUUUGCAUGGAUGCUUAAUCAUGAUACUUCAAAUGCCAUAAAGAUGGAACUCCGCCGAAAAGGACAUAUAUUGAUGGUGAAUAUGCCACUCUACAAGGCAAAGAUGAUUCACAUUCUUGAAGCUGUAAUAAAGGAGAGAAAUGUUGAACUGCAGAAGAAAAGUUCAAAUGCUUUGAGAACUACCAAAGAAGGCAAUCUGCAUGAAUAUCAUGAGAUUGAUACCACACAUUUUGAUGUUGCCAGCUCUGAUGAUUCUGAUAUGCCUGAAAUGCGUAGUUCUAAUUCCAUAUGUGGCUCACGUAAUGGGGAAAAACGAAGAGAGAGGAUUACAAAACCUUGUUCUUCAGGCUACCAGAAAAUUAACAACUGUUUAGUUGAACUCACUCGUGUUUAUUCAAAAGAGAAUUAUUCAACUGAAAGAGAUCCAUGUCAAGACAGGCACAACUCUCAUGAUGUUCAAAAUGAAGAACCUAAAUGUUGCACACAAGCAUCCCUUUCAGCAGAACCUCAAAGUGAAAAUGCUGAAUGCUGCGAACAACAUUUGGUUAGCAGCUGUCCUACAGCACAGGGUAAUUUAUACUCAAGCAAGGCUAUGAAUGAACAGAAAUCUCUUGAGGGCCUACGUAUACUGCUUGCAGAAGAUACCCCAGUACUCCAGAGAGUUGCAACCAUAAUGCUAGAAAAAAUGGGUGCUACAGUAGUUGCUGUGGGGGAUGGCCUUCAGGCAGUAGAUGCUCUGAAUUGCAAGCAAAGUGCAGAAGCUUGUCAAAGGGAUUGUGUCUGUGAAGAUAGAAACAUAAGAUUGCAAGCAGAAAACAGGGAUUUCCCUCUAUAUGACUUGAUCCUAAUGGAUUGCCAAAUGCCAAAGAUGGAUGGUUAUGAAGCAACAAAGAUAAUCAGGAAAUCAGAAGCUGGAACCGGAUUGCACAUUCCUAUUGUUGCAUUGACCGCCCAUGCAAUGUCAUCAGAUGAAGCCAAAUGCUUGGAGGUGGGCAUGGACGCUUAUCUAACAAAACCAAUUAACUACAAGCUGAUGGUUUCCACCAUUCUUUCACUCACUACAAGAACGGCCUACGUCAAGCGAGAGCUAACAAACCAGUAGCUUAUGCAGCCUUCAGAUGGAAGUCUCGCACCCGUGUGAUGCAGUUAAAGGAGGAUCUCAAACUCAAAAAUAGUGGCAAUCGCACUGUCACAGAAUUUCUCCAGGCUAUCAAACUCAUCGCCGAUGAACUGGCCAUAAUUGAUCAUCCCAUCUCCGAUGAAGAUUUGAGCCUUUAUAUUCUCAAUGGUUUGGGUCCUAAGUAUCGGGAGAUUGCUGCUCUCAUACGAGCUCGAGAAAACUCUCUCACGUUUGAGGAGCUCCAUGACCCGCUAGUUGGCUAAGAGAGCUAUCUCUGUCAUUCGGACCAAUAAGCUACGCAACCAUUGGUUGCAGCUACAAGUUUCAGCCAGUGAAUGGGAGGCCCAUCUGGAUCAAAUGGACAAUGUUCCUCCUCAAAUAAAGGCCGUGACAAUGCGAAACGCAUUCGGGCUUCUGAAAGUAUAAGCCCAAAUGCCAAUUGUGUGUCAAUUGGACCACAUCGCCAAAAAUUGUCCGAAGCAUGUUUCCAGUGAUUUCUCGGCAAAUUGUGCUGCCUCCUCUAAAAGCAAAGAUUAGAAAUGGAUUGGAUCACGGAGGCGACACUACUCAAAGGCGAAUAUGAAGAUGAUGUGUACCCUUUGCUGGAAACAAUGGCUACAAUUUCAAAACCGCAAUUGCUUAUGUUCAUGAACAUACUACGGCAAAUGGAUGGCAUAAGCGUCUUGGCCACCCUACUUCAAAAAUUGCCUAACAUCUUAUUCGCAUUUUUUUUUUUUUUGCCUAUUCAUAAAAAUGGGCAUUCAUCUCUUUGUGUCUUAUGUUCUCAAAAUAAAGCACAUCGGCAUAUGUUCCAAUCUUAUGGUUUAAAUAGCACAGCACCACUGCAAUUAAUCUAUACAGAUGUUUGGGGUCCCUCUUA
This is an RNA transcript of Carya illinoinensis, 5375 nucleotides long. It is a transcript of the gene named histidine kinase 1-like, with no coding region annotated. The record is from RefSeq and is a predicted model, not a curated record. The transcript is spliced from 15 exons. Lineage: Eukaryota; Viridiplantae; Streptophyta; Magnoliopsida; Fagales; Juglandaceae.